RNAcentral lists this unclassified non-coding RNA (344 nucleotides) under soil metagenome. Its description in RNAcentral is "partial contains 5.8S ribosomal RNA, internal transcribed spacer 2, and large subunit ribosomal RNA". The stretch from base 1 to 120 matches the Rfam family "5.8S ribosomal RNA", at positions 35 to 154 of the family's 154-position model. The record is from RNAcentral.
GAUGAAGAACGUAGCGAAAUGCGAUAAGUAAUGUGAAUUGCAGAAUUCAGUGAAUCAUCGAGUCUUUGAACGCACAUUGCGCCCCCUGGUAUUCCGGGGGGCAUGCCUGUCCGAGCGUCAUUGCUGCCCUCAAGCACGGCUUGUGUGUUGGGCCUCCGUCCUCCUCCCGGGGGACGGGCCCGAAAGGCAGCGGCGGCACCGCGUCCGGUCCUCGAGCGUAUGGGGCUUCGUCACCCGCUCUUGUAGGCCCGGCCGGCGCUUGCCGACACAUCAAUCUUUUUUCCAGGUUGACCUCGGAUCAGGUAGGGAUACCCGCUGAACUUAAGCAUAUCAAUAAGCGGGGA